AACGCUAGCUACAGGCUUAACACAUGCAAGUCGAGGGGCAGCAUGAGCUUAGCUUGCUAAGCUUGAUGGCGACCGGCGCACGGGUGAGUAACACGUAUCCAACCUCCCGCUUACUCAGGAAUAGCCUUUCGAAAGAAAGAUUAAUGCCUGAUGGUAUCUUAAGCACACAUGUAAUUAAGAUUAAAGAUUUAUCGGUAAGCGAUGGGGAUGCGUUCCAUUAGGUAGUAGGCGGGGUAACGGCCCACCUAGCCGACGAUGGAUAGGGGUUCUGAGAGGAAGGUCCCCCACAUUGGAACUGAGACACGGUCCAAACUCCUACGGGAGGCAGCAGUGAGGAAUAUUGGUCAAUGGGCGCGAGCCUGAACCAGCCAAGUAGCGUGAAGGAUGAAGGUCCUACGGAUUGUAAACUUCUUUUAUACGGGAAUAAAGUGGCCUACGUGUAGGCUUUUGCAUGUACCGUAUGAAUAAGCAUCGGCUAACUCCGUGCCAGCAGCCGCGGUAAUACGGAGGAUGCGAGCGUUAUCCGGAUUUAUUGGGUUUAAAGGGAGCGCAGACGGGGGAUUAAGUCAGUUGUGAAAGUUUGCGGCUCAACCGUAAAAUUGCAGUUGAUACUGGUUCCCUUGAGUGCAGUUGAGGCAGGCGGAAUUCGUGGUGUAGCGGUGAAAUGCAUAGAUAUCACGAAGAACUCCGAUUG
RNAcentral lists this ribosomal RNA (694 nucleotides) under uncultured bacterium. Its description in RNAcentral is "bacterial SSU rRNA". It matches the Rfam family "Bacterial small subunit ribosomal RNA", at positions 32 to 715 of the family's 1533-position model. The record is from RNAcentral.